GGAAAAGUACCCAUAUUGUCCUGUCUCACAAGUCUUCUCUGAUGAUCCUUUGCAAAAGUGUGCACUGGUUGUAAUGUCUGUGGGACUGUAUUGUGCUCAAGCCCAGCAGACAGGACCCAGUUUCUGGGCCCAAAAGUGUUGGCAGUAAAAAUAGGAGGGUCUAAGGUCUUCAGGACCCCAGAGAAACUAACAGAAGAAGGCAAGUAUUAAUGAAAAUAUCUAAGUGGCACCUCAGAGAGCUGAGGAUAUCAGCUUCCCUCUUCUGGCUCUCAACAACCUGAGGACAAUGGAACAAGAGACUGUAGAAAAGACACAUUGAUGGUUUAUCACAUUUAGGUUGAAUUCUGGUGAUGUGCUGAACAACACUGAGCCAAACUUCUCACUGCUCGUUGUGUAGAAGAACCUACUUUGCUUUCCUUUGUGCCCUAGGGAUCUUGGAAAUAGACAGCACCGGAGAAUCCUAUUUCUCAGGAAAAGCAAAAAAUUCUGAUGCCUUGUGGGACUCCCCUUGUGCGAGCCAUUGGCAGCGUGCUUUGGUGCUGUCCUCGGAACAGGCCAGGAAGCAGAUGGCAUGUCAGACCGUGACAGUCCUGCUGCUUUAUUCCAGAAGCAGCACAUCCUGUGCUGGCCCAGUGACAACGGGUCCUCCUGGUGACCCACUGGAGUGCAGAAGCUGGGCAGAGUCUCCACUUGGAGGACAGUCCUUACAGGCAGGCUGUGCUACAACAGCUCCCUCUCCCCAUCUGAGGACAACAAGUGCAGCAGAGGAAGUAAAAGAGAUUUCAGCAAUUCUUGUAUCUGAUGAAGAGUAAAUUUAAAGGCAGUGCAUAAGAGAUGCUUACCUUUUAACUCUUCCAGUAAAAGCUUGUUUUCAUGGUGAUAACAAGAAAGAGGUACCAGGACUCCCUCAGCAGAAUCUUUCAGAGGAAUGAAGGUAGAUAUCAUUGAAAUGAGUGAACAUAACAUGUUCUUUGUUCAUUUAAUGUCACAUUUUUCUGCUUCAGGUUUUAUCCCUUUUUUAAUAUGAAAAAAAAAAAUGUUACUUUUCUCUUGAGUUUUGAUUGUAUCUCGAUUCCAUGCAGAUAUUUUAAAUUAUAAAAUAGUAUAACACAAA
RNAcentral lists this long non-coding RNA (1114 nucleotides) under Anas platyrhynchos platyrhynchos (common mallard). Its description in RNAcentral is "lncRNA (ENSAPLG00000028672.1)". The record is from RNAcentral. Lineage: Eukaryota; Metazoa; Chordata; Aves; Anseriformes; Anatidae.